GGCCGAGUGGCGGAAUGGCAGACGCUAGGGAUUUAAAAUCCCUUGCCCGUUCAGGGCGUGCGGGUUCGAUCCCCGCCUCGGCUA
This 84-nucleotide transfer RNA is filed under the name Planctomycetia bacterium. RNAcentral's name for it is "tRNA-Leu". It matches the Rfam family "tRNA". Rfam says of the family: Transfer RNA (tRNA) molecules are approximately 80 nucleotides in length. Their secondary structure includes four short double-helical elements and three loops (D, anti-codon, and T loops). The record is from RNAcentral. Lineage: Bacteria; Pseudomonadati; Planctomycetota; Planctomycetia.